Molecule: non-coding RNA, 46 nt
Filed under: Schistosoma haematobium
Lineage: Eukaryota; Metazoa; Platyhelminthes; Trematoda; Strigeidida; Schistosomatidae
Also listed under: 3 other names
Source: RNAcentral
GCACUGCUGAGGAGUCCCAUACCAGGACGAAACUGCCGUCCAGUGC